This 29-nucleotide non-coding RNA is filed under the name Rattus norvegicus (Norway rat). Lineage: Eukaryota; Metazoa; Chordata; Mammalia; Rodentia; Muridae. The record is from RNAcentral.
UAGACUGACUCCUGCUGAUUAGGAGCGUU